AGUGAACGCUGGCGGUAGGCCUAACACAUGCAAGUCGAACGGCAGCACAGUAAGCGCUUUCUCUUACGAGUGGCUAGUAACGGACGGGUGAGGCAUACAUCGGAAUCUACUUUUUCGUGGGGGAUAACUUAGGGCAACUUACGCUACUACCUCAUACGACCUACGGGUGAAAGCAUGGUUUCUUCGGACCUUGCCCGAUUUACUGAACCGAUCUCGGAUUUGCUAGUUGGCGGGGUAAAGGCCAACCAAGGCGACGAUCCGUACCUGGUCUGAGAGGAUGAUGAGCAACACUGGAACUGAGACACGGUCCAGACUCCUACGGGAGGCAGAAGAGGGGAAUAUUGGAAAAGGGGCGCAAGCCUGAUCAAGACAUACCGCGUGGGUGAAGAAGGCCUUCGGGUUGUAAAGCCCUUUUGUUGGGAAAGAAAAGCAGCAGGUUAAUAACCUGAUGUUCUGACGGUACCCAAAGAAUAAGCACCGGCUAACUUCGUG
Molecule: ribosomal RNA, 492 nt
Filed under: uncultured bacterium
Lineage: Bacteria
Description: partial 16S ribosomal RNA
Rfam family: Bacterial small subunit ribosomal RNA
Source: RNAcentral